GGCAUCUGUAGCUCGGUGGGCAGAGCACCCGCUUUGCCCGCACAAGGUCCUGGGUUCAAUCCCCGGCGUCGCCA
Molecule: non-coding RNA, 74 nt
Organism: Podarcis lilfordi (Lilford's wall lizard)
Lineage: Eukaryota; Metazoa; Chordata; Lepidosauria; Squamata; Lacertidae
Source: the annotation of a GenBank genome assembly